UGGGGAAUAUUGCACAAUGGGCGCAAGCCUGAUGCAGCCAUGCCGCGUGUGUGAAGAAGGCCUUCGGGUUGUAAAGCACUUUCAGCGAGGAGGAAGGUGGUGGACUUAAUACGUUCAUCAAUUGACGUUACUCGCAGAAGAAGCACCGGCUAACUCCGUGCCAGCAGCCGCGGUAAUACGGAGGGUGCAAGCGUUAAUCGGAAUUACUGGGCGUAAAGCGCACGCAGGCGGUUUGUUAAGUCAGAUGUGAAAUCCCCGGGCUCAACCUGGGAACUGCAUUUGAAACUGGCAAGCUAGAGUCUCGUAGAGGGGGGUAGAAUUCCAGGUGUAGCGGUGAAAUGCGUAGAGAUCUGGAGGAAUACCGGUGGCGAAGGCGGCCCCCUGGACGAAGACUGACGCUCAGGUGCGAAAGGCGUGGGGGAGCAAACAGGAUUAGAUACCCUGGUAGUCCACGCUGUAAACGAUGUCGAUUUUGGAGGUUGUGCCCUUGAGGCGUGGNUUCCGGAGCUAACGCGUUAAAGUCGACCGCCCUGGGGGAGUUACGGCNCAAGGUUAAAACUUAAAUGAAUUGCGGGUCUAGCGUUCC
This 586-nucleotide ribosomal RNA is filed under the name uncultured bacterium. RNAcentral describes it as "partial 16S ribosomal RNA". It matches the Rfam family "Bacterial small subunit ribosomal RNA", at positions 355 to 927 of the family's 1533-position model. The record is from RNAcentral.